AUGAGAAAACUCCUAAACGACCGCGUUUUGUUGUGCUUUAAGGUUCAGAAAAGGGACGAUUCAGUUUCACAAAGAAAUUUCUUCCUUUCCUUCUCAACAAAAUAUGCCGCGAACGUCAUCUCUUUCGACGAUUCUCAGUCUUCCCAACCACGUGCUUCCGCCUGUUUCCGCUCCAUUUCGAUUCUCCCUCAAAGAUUCGCUUUGUUCAUGGUUCACCAUCAAGCUUCAUUUUCGAUCUUACGGCAAACGCGGUUCCGUCGAGCCUCAUCUUUAACCUCUGAUUCGCUUAAGUCCCCGCGUGAUUCAGAUCCAUAUCAAGAUACAUAA
Molecule: non-coding RNA, 327 nt
Organism: Vicia faba (fava bean)
Lineage: Eukaryota; Viridiplantae; Streptophyta; Magnoliopsida; Fabales; Fabaceae
Source: the annotation of a GenBank genome assembly